RNAcentral lists this ribosomal RNA (497 nucleotides) under uncultured bacterium. RNAcentral's name for it is "partial 16S ribosomal RNA". It matches the Rfam family "Bacterial small subunit ribosomal RNA", at positions 28 to 507 of the family's 1533-position model. The record is from RNAcentral.
GAUGAACGCUGGCGGCGUGCCUAAUACAUGCAAGUCGAGCGAACGGACGAGAAUCUUGCUUCACUGAUGUUAGCGGCGGACGGGUAAGUAACACGUGGAUAACCUACCUAUAAGACUGAGAUAAAUUCGGGAAACCGGAGCUAAUACCGGAUAAUAUUGUGAACCGCAUGGUUCAGAAGAGAAAGACGGUCUGGCUGUCACUUAUAGAUGGAUCCGCGCUGCAUUAGCUAGUUGGUAAGGUAACGGCUUACCAAGGCAACGAUGCAUAGCCGACCUGAGAGGGUGAUGGGCGACACUGGGACUGAGAGGCGGUCCUGACUCCUACGGGAGGCAGAAGUAGGUAAUCUUCCGAAAUGGGCGGAAGACUGACGGAGCAACGCCGCGUGAGUGAUGAAGGGCUUCGGAUCGUAAAACUCUGUUAUUAGGGAAGAACAUAUGUGUAAGUAACUGUGCACAGCUUGACGGUACCUAAUCAGAAAGCAACGGCUAACUACGUG